This 381-nucleotide ribosomal RNA is filed under the name uncultured marine Chaetocerotaceae. Its description in RNAcentral is "SSU rRNA". It matches the Rfam family "Eukaryotic small subunit ribosomal RNA", at positions 587 to 972 of the family's 1831-position model. The record is from RNAcentral. Lineage: Eukaryota; Bacillariophyta; Thalassiosirophyceae; Chaetocerotales; Chaetocerotaceae.
AGCUCCAAUAGCGUAUAUUAAAGUUGCUGCAGUUAAAAAGCUCGUAGUUGUAUUUCCGAGGCAAGGGAUUAGUCCGACCUUUGGUGGGUAUUUAAUCCUCUUGCCUCGUCCUUGAGUGGUGCUUCUUGGUAUUAAGUUAUCGAGGAGAUAGCCGCUCAUCGUUUACUGUGAGAAAAUUAGAGUGUUCAAAGCAGGCUUAUGCCGUUGAAUAUACUAGCAUGGAAUAAUAAGAUAGGACCUCGGUACUAUUUUGUUGGUUUGAGAACCAAGGUAAUGAUGAAUAGGGACAGUUGGGGGUAUUCGUAUUCAGUUGUCAGAGGUGAAAUUCUUAGAUUUACGGAAGACGAACUACUGCGAAAGCAUUUACCAAGGAUGUUUUCA